Molecule: ribosomal RNA, 378 nt
Filed under: uncultured eukaryote
Lineage: Eukaryota
Description: partial 18S ribosomal RNA
Rfam family: Eukaryotic small subunit ribosomal RNA
Source: RNAcentral
CAAUAGCGUAUAUUUAAGCUGUUGCAGUUAAAAAGCUCGUAGUUGGAUUUCGGGUGGGACGCAGCGGUCUCGCAUUGCGUUUGUACUGCUGCAGCCCUCCUUCUUGCCGGGGGCGGCCUCUCGGACUUCACUGUCUGGGGGUCAGAAUCGGCGAUGUUACUUUGAGUAAAUUAGAGUGUUCAAAGCAAGCUUACGCUCUGAAUAUAAUAGCAUGGGAUAACACGACAGGACUCUGGCCUAUCGUGUUGGUCUAUAGGACCAGAGUAAUGAUUAAGAGGGACAGUCGGGGGCAUUCGUAUUCCGUUGUCAGAGGUGAAAUUCUUGGAUUUACGGAAGACGAACAUCUGCGAAAGCAUUUGCCAAGGAUGUUUUCAUUGA